This is a long non-coding RNA of Mytilus californianus (California mussel), 392 nucleotides long. RefSeq lists it as uncharacterized. The transcript is spliced from 3 exons. Lineage: Eukaryota; Metazoa; Mollusca; Bivalvia; Mytilida; Mytilidae. The record is from RefSeq and is a predicted model, not a curated record.
UGAUAGCCUUAUCGUAGUUUUCUUGUCAAGUAAAAUUGACCCUCAGACAACAAUGAUUUAUGACAUAGAUGGAGAAGUUGUUCCAAAGGAUGAAAUUUUAGAAAUCAUAAAAGGCUGUCAAGGUUUUGAAGGGAAACCGAAAAUUAUUAUUGUCCAUACUUACAAUUUUAACGAGGAAAAAGAAUAUUUUGAUAAAACCAACUCUACACCAAAGGGCAUCAUAAUGGAGAAGAAAUCAAACACAGACGAUAUAUUUGUGGUAUCAAGUUAUUCAAGAAUAGGUCCAUGGAUGAUUGGAGAUAAUAUGGUAGGAUCAUACUUUAUUCAGGCACUCAUACAUGCCUUCAAGAACUUUGCCUAUCAAAAAUCUUUUAUGGAUCUAUUAAAAGAGG